Bubalus bubalis (water buffalo) is the source of this 422-nucleotide long non-coding RNA. RefSeq lists it as uncharacterized. The record is from RefSeq and is a predicted model, not a curated record. The transcript has 2 exons. Lineage: Eukaryota; Metazoa; Chordata; Mammalia; Artiodactyla; Bovidae.
CGGGAUCCGUUGCGCACGUGCACGCGGCUCUAACUAAGGGCAGUCGGGGAACUGGGCGGAGCGAGCUGGGCGGCGCGCGGCGCGCUGGGACUGUGAGGACACCUCGGCGGAGCCGCUGGAGCCGGCUUGGCUUGAGGAUGAAGAAGCUGUUUGGCAUCCAAAGAUGGACAUUACUCCUAAAGAGGAUAUUGGAAAAGGAAGAACUCCUCAGAAGGUGAAGUCAAGAGUCAAGAAGUACAAUAGACUGUGAAGCUACUCCUAGGAAACAAAACCAAAGAUUGAUUAAGCCAAGUUCCUUACACAGAGAUUAGUAGACCUUGUAACCAUUCCUUCAUGGGAUUUCAGAACUUCUGUGAACCAGUGAUUUCUGGGUUCCCCCCUUUUCCCCUCUUUCUAAAUAAAAGCGUUUGUUGUGGUUACAC